AGAAUCCUGGGGAGCCGGGGCACCGGCCAGAGAGGCAAGAGAGUGGAGCCGAGGCUCAGGGACUGGGGAGCGCAGCUGCAAAGAGAGCGGGUGGGAAAAAGCCGAGGGCAAGAAACUGAGACGUGGGUGGCGGGGGAGGGGAAAGAAACGGGGGCCCGUGGAGAGGGAACCCGAAGGAAGGAGGGAAAGCAUCCCAAGCAGAAAAGACCGGCGGGGGUCCGGAGAGGGAAAAGCCUGAGGGGACGCGGAGAGGGGAAGACGUGGGGGCCUGGUCCUGGAGAGGCAGGGUCGGGCGACACGGGCCGCUCACCUGCGAGGGGGGGCGGCGGCUCCUCGCACUCGGGGCUCAUCGGGGCGCCCCCCCCGCCCCGCCGCCGGCGGCUCCGGCCCCUGCUGCGGGGCCCGGUCAGUAGGGGCGGGGGCGGCGUCGGGGACUUGCGCAGGCGCCGGGGCUCGCGGGGUCCGCGCAGGCGCCCGCGGGUCGUGGGGUCCUCGGGCGCCGGGUCCUGCAGAGUUGAGGGGGUCAGCGCCGGGUGGGGUUGCCGGCGGGCGGGAGAUGUCACGAGUCCGCGUAGGCGCCUCCGGGGUCCGCAGGCGAGGUGGGCGCGCCGGCCAAGGCGGGUUGCGGACGAGCCCGGUCGCGAGGCCCGCGCAGGCGCCUCAGCCGGGAAGACGGGGGAAGUUGCCUCGGUUUCCACAGUCCAACCCAGCGCCCCGCGGGAGGGGAAGACGUCCUCCUCCGCGGUCCAAACGGGCCGCAGAGCCGAGCAGCGACCGACGAAAGCCGAGGCCUACUUCCUCAACCGCCUCUUCCCCAAAGCCGCUCAGUCUCCGGGCUCUGCGGCCCGCCUCAGGGACUUCGCCGCCCGGCUCCCUCCGCCACUAUCCCACAAUGCCCCUAGCGCAAGACGACGCAGGAAGCCCCGCCCUCCCGCUGCUGUCUCGGUGCGCAGGUGCGGGAGGGGCCGCACGCCUGGGCGGUGCAGUGCGCGUGCGCCCGCCUGCUUCCGACCCCGCCCACUCCUGAAACCCACCGUCGUAGACGCGCUUGCGCCCGUUGGUGCCAACGGUCUGGCCUGGAAUAAACCCAGACAGCGCAAUGAGCCGGAGCUGCGCACCGGCUCCGUUCCAAGUCCCCGUGAAGAUUCCGCUCCAGGAUUUCCCUUCCCACUCGCUCCGUUUGGAAAUCCGUUCGCUCUUGUCUCUAAUCGUAGUCCGGCUUUGGCUCCAGGGUCGGGCUCUUGUGAAAUCCAGACCUGGUUUACACUCCAGCCAAGCCCAGGCGCCUUAGUCCCGCCCGGCUCUCGUGCUAAG
Molecule: long non-coding RNA, 1314 nt
Filed under: Piliocolobus tephrosceles (Ugandan red Colobus)
Lineage: Eukaryota; Metazoa; Chordata; Mammalia; Primates; Cercopithecidae
Description: lncRNA (ENSPTEG00000039703.1)
Source: RNAcentral